GCAAGUCGAACGGUAGAGAUCCUUCGGGAUCUUGAGAGUGGCGAACGGGUGAGUAACACGUAGAUGAUCUGCCUUUAAGUUUGGGAUAGCUCAUAGAAAUAUGGGGUAAUACCGGAUAAUAUCUUAUCACUGUGGUGAUUUGAUGAAAGGGGCUUCGGCCUCGCUUUUAGAUGAGUCUGCGGCUUAUUAGCUAGUUGGUAGGGUAAAGGCCUACCAAGGCAAUGAUGAAUAGCCGGCCUGAGAGGGUGACC
This 251-nucleotide ribosomal RNA is filed under the name uncultured bacterium. RNAcentral describes it as "partial 16S ribosomal RNA". It matches the Rfam family "Bacterial small subunit ribosomal RNA", at positions 57 to 305 of the family's 1533-position model. The record is from RNAcentral.